This is a long non-coding RNA of Xiphophorus couchianus (Monterrey platyfish), 937 nucleotides long. RefSeq lists it as uncharacterized. NCBI's taxonomy places the organism in Eukaryota, Metazoa, Chordata, Actinopteri, Cyprinodontiformes, Poeciliidae. The record is from RefSeq and is a predicted model, not a curated record. The transcript is spliced from 2 exons.
UGCUUCUAUGAUCGUUGUCAACAUUUCCACUUUCCUGUAAUAUAACGCUGUCUAACUCUUCCAGGGGAAAGUCUUCAUCGGCAAAUUCAUCGUCUGCCAUGUUGUCUUCUUGGCUAUUUUGAUCCAUCACAUCAGAGUGGAACAACUCAACGAGAUCAACACAGAAAUUUAUUUUUUCAUAAGCCAAAACGAAGAAGUGACUGUGACCUGGAGUAGCAGUAUACGGGUCGCUUUGGCCUCCCAGGGCCUCUGAGUGGUCUGUGUGACAGCGGAGACCUCGUCAUUGGUGCAGUCUGUACCCCUCCACUUCUGCAGCUGACCAUAUGCAGGCUGGCUGACAUCCAGCAAUGAGUCAACCUGAAGCAAAAGGAGACUAAUCAGCUUUGGUUCAAGUUGCCUUCACAAUUAUUUUGUGAUCAUCUAGUUGCUUUUUUUCACAUUGUACUUUUUGGUUUAGAGGCUAAGUUUAUUUUUUUGCCUGAGCUGUAAUGGAUGAAAAUUCAAUAAACCCUCCAUACCAGACUAUUAGGUAAAAAUAUGAAAUUAUAGUUUGUCUAAGGCUAUCAUUUUGAAUGCUUUAGAAAUUGUAGGGUUCUGAGAUUUUAAGCCAUUUUAAUGUAACCAAUGUAUUUAGGGUAUUAGUUUUCCACAAAUUUCCCUAAUUUGGCUCCAUCUUUGCUUGAGAAAUACAGCAAAGAUGGAGCUGAAAAGGUUGGAUCUGAGAUCUGUAUUUCUGUACACUUGAAUUGGUGUUUAAAUAAUUUCAGAACCAGAUGUACUGCAAACCAACAGAUAGUGCACUUCUUCUUUUUUUGUAACCAUCACAGAACUCAAUUAUAGCCAGAAGUGUAAGGUAUGAAGGCGUUUUCUUCUGGGGAUUCCAAAAUACUUUAAUCAAGUUUUUCAAAGAAAUAAUAAUAAAAAAAACUUCCAAGUA